AGCAGCCGCGGUAAUUCCAGCUCCAAUAGCGUAUAUUAAAGUUGUUGCAGUUAAAAAGCUCGUAGUUGAAUUUCGGGAUUGGCGCAUCGGUCGUGCCUUACGGGGUAUGAACUGGUGCAGUCAAUUUCUCACCUUCUGGAGAACCGCGAUGUCCUUAAUUGGGUGCCGCGGGGAACCAGGACCUUUACUUUGAAAAAAUUAGAGUGUUUAAAGCAGGCAUUUUUGCUUGAAUACAUUAGCAUGGAAUAAUAAAAUAGGACGGCAUGGUUCUAUUUUGUUGGUUUCUAGGACCACCGUAAUGAUUAAUAGGGAUAGUUGGGGGCAUUAGUAUUCAAUUGUCAGAGGUGAAAUUCUUGGAUUUAUUGAAGACUAACUACUGCGAAAGCAUUUGCCAAGGAUGUUUUCAUUAAUCAAGAACGAAAGUUAGGGGAUCGAAGACGAUCAGAUACCGUCGUAGUCUUAA
Molecule: ribosomal RNA, 463 nt
Filed under: uncultured Entrophospora
Lineage: Eukaryota; Fungi; Glomeromycota; Glomeromycetes; Entrophosporales; Entrophosporaceae
Description: SSU rRNA
Rfam family: Eukaryotic small subunit ribosomal RNA
Source: RNAcentral